GCUCAGGAUGAACGCUGGCGGCGUGCUUAACACAUGCAAGUCGAACGAGAAUCUGCUGAAGGAGGAUUCGUCCAACGGAAGUAGAGGAAAGUGGCGGACGGGUGAGUAACGCGUGAGGAACCUGCCUUGAAGAGGGGGACAACAGUUGGAAACGACUGCUAAUACCGCAUGAAGCAUAGGGGUCGCAUGAUCUUUAUGCCAAAGAUUUAUCGCUUCAAGAUGGCCUCGCGUCUGAUUAGCUGGUUGGCGGGGUAACGGCCCACCAAGGCGACGAUCAGUAGCCGGACUGAGAGGUUGAACGGCCACAUUGGGACUGAGAUACGGCCCAGACUCCUACGGGAGGCAGCAGUA
RNAcentral lists this ribosomal RNA (351 nucleotides) under uncultured bacterium. RNAcentral's name for it is "bacterial SSU rRNA". It matches the Rfam family "Bacterial small subunit ribosomal RNA", at positions 22 to 356 of the family's 1533-position model. The record is from RNAcentral.